UACGAAGGGGGCUAGCGUUGCUCGGAAUCACUGGGCGUAAAGCGCACGUAGGCGGACUCUUAAGUCGGUGGUGAAAUCCUGGAGCUCAACUCCAGAACUGCCUUCGAUACUGAGAGUCUCGAGUCCGGGAGAGGUGAGUGGAACUGCGAGUGUAGAGGUGAAAUUCGUAGAUAUCAGGAGGAACACCGGUGGUGUAGACGGCUCACUGGACCAUAACUGACGCUGAGACACGAAAGCGUGGGUAGCAAACAGG
RNAcentral lists this ribosomal RNA (253 nucleotides) under uncultured bacterium. RNAcentral describes it as "partial 16S ribosomal RNA". It matches the Rfam family "Bacterial small subunit ribosomal RNA", at positions 524 to 776 of the family's 1533-position model. The record is from RNAcentral.